AGAGCCCUGCGAUGUGCGUGAACCACCGAUAGUUUUGAGCCAACACCAUUACAAAGGGAGCCUGAGGUCACCUGUGAGCGCGAAUGCCCGUGAGGGACUCGUUAACACGGGUGCAGGGCACCCACCUGCCGAGAGCAGGUUCAAAACUGAGGAGAGCCACGGCAUAACGGGGCUCUU
RNAcentral lists this non-coding RNA (177 nucleotides) under Paludifilum halophilum. RNAcentral describes it as "6S / SsrS RNA". It matches the Rfam family "6S / SsrS RNA". From Rfam's summary of the family: E. coli 6S RNA was the first non coding RNA to be sequenced, but its function was unknown until recently. It consists of 184 nucleotides that fold into an extended hairpin structure with a large single-stranded internal bulge. The record is from Rfam by way of RNAcentral. Lineage: Bacteria; Bacillati; Bacillota; Bacilli; Caryophanales; Thermoactinomycetaceae.